Molecule: non-coding RNA, 26 nt
Filed under: Cricetulus griseus (Chinese hamster)
Lineage: Eukaryota; Metazoa; Chordata; Mammalia; Rodentia; Cricetidae
Source: RNAcentral
ACUGGCCGAGGCUGUGGGCACUGGGA